UGGGGAAUAUUGGGCAAUGGGCGAAAGCCUGACCCAGCAACGCCGCGUGAGGGAAGAAGGUUUUCGGAUUGUAAACCUCUGUCCUUGGGGACGAAGAAAGUGACGGUACCCAAGGAGGAAGCCCCGGCUAACUACGUGCCAGCAGCCGCGGUAAUACGUAGGGGGCGAGCGUUGUCCGGAAUUACUGGGCGUAAAGGGUGCGUAGGCGGUUUCCUAAGCCAGAUGUGAAAUCCCCGGGCUUAACUCGGGUGGUGCAUUUGAAACUGGGAGGCUAGAGUGCAGGAGAGGGAAGCGGAAUUCCUAGUGUAGCGGUGAAAUGCGUAGAUAUUAGGAGGAACACCAGUGGCGAAGGCGGCUUUCUGGACUGUAACUGACGCUGAGGCACGAAAGCGUGGGGAGCAAACA
Molecule: ribosomal RNA, 405 nt
Filed under: uncultured prokaryote
Description: bacterial SSU rRNA
Rfam family: Bacterial small subunit ribosomal RNA
Source: RNAcentral